Molecule: ribosomal RNA, 449 nt
Filed under: uncultured bacterium
Lineage: Bacteria
Description: bacterial SSU rRNA
Rfam family: Bacterial small subunit ribosomal RNA
Source: RNAcentral
GACCAGACUCCUACGGGAGGCAGCAGUGGGGAAUAUUGCACAAUGGGGGAAACCCUGAUGCAGCGACGCCGCGUGAGCAAUGAAGUAUUUCGGUAUGUAAAGCUCUAUCAGCAGGGAAGAAAAUGACGGUACCUGACUAAGAAGCCCCGGCUAACUACGUGCCAGCAGCCGCGGUAAUACGUAGGGGGCAAGCGUUAUCCGGAUUUACUGGGUGUAAAGGGAGCGUAGACGGCUGUGCAAGCCAGAUGUGAAAGCCCGGGGCUCAACCCCGGGACUGCAUUUGGAACUGUGUGGCUGGAGUGUCGGAGAGGCAGGCGGAAUUCCUAGUGUAGCGGUGAAAUGCGUAGAUAUUAGGAGGAACACCAGUGGCGAAGGCGGCCUGCUGGACGAUGACUGACGUUGAGGCUCGAAAGCGUGGGGAGCAAACAGGAUUAGAUACCCCGGUACAA